GCGCUUGUAGCUCAAAGGACAGAGCGCAGCCCUGCGGAGGCUGAGGCUGCGGGUUCGAGCCCCGCCAAGCGCGCCA
RNAcentral lists this transfer RNA (76 nucleotides) under Chloroflexota bacterium. Its description in RNAcentral is "Chloroflexi bacterium (groundwater metagenome) tRNA-Arg". It matches the Rfam family "tRNA". From Rfam's summary of the family: Transfer RNA (tRNA) molecules are approximately 80 nucleotides in length. Their secondary structure includes four short double-helical elements and three loops (D, anti-codon, and T loops). Further hydrogen bonds mediate the characteristic L-shaped molecular structure. tRNAs have two regions of fundamental functional importance: the anti-codon, which is responsible for specific mRNA codon recognition, and the 3' end, to which the tRNAs corresponding amino acid is attached (by aminoacyl-tRNA synthetases). tRNAs cope with the degeneracy of the genetic code in two manners: having more than one tRNA (with a specific anti-codon) for a particular amino acid; and 'wobble' base-pairing, i.e. permitting non-standard base-pairing at the 3rd anti-codon position. The record is from RNAcentral. Lineage: Bacteria; Bacillati; Chloroflexota.